CUCUGUUGUUCGGACAUGUCAGCGUUGUCAUAAUCUGCCAUCUCUCAAACUGCCAUUUCUUCUCCUGUUUAUUUAUUAUAUAUUUAUUUUUUUCUUCUCUCACCGACAGAGGAGCAUAGCCUACCUCUUCCCCUCCGGCCUGUUUGAGAAGCAAGCCCGGCCCGUCAUGAAGCAUCCAGACGACAUAUUUCCAAAGCAGAGCGCUGUCCAGUGGGGAGAGGACGGGCGGCCCUUCCACUUCCUGUUUUACACCGGCAAACCGUCCUACUACUCCAUGAUGCAUGUGAGUACUGCAGGCAGCUGUCAGGUUUUUAUGUGAGGUGGAGGUAAAUCUUCAUCCAGCUCAAAUCCCUAGUUCUUCC
Morone saxatilis (striped sea-bass) is the source of this 362-nucleotide long non-coding RNA. RefSeq lists it as uncharacterized. The record is from RefSeq and is a predicted model, not a curated record. The transcript has 3 exons. NCBI's taxonomy places the organism in Eukaryota, Metazoa, Chordata, Actinopteri, Moronidae.